AAUGAGGUGCCUGAGUCAAAGGGCUAUCUUGAUAGGGUAGAUCACGUGGGGAAACCCACUCUCAUU
RNAcentral lists this transfer RNA (66 nucleotides) under Cinygmina sp. 1 YW01BF06. RNAcentral's name for it is "tRNA-Ile". The record is from RNAcentral. Lineage: Eukaryota; Metazoa; Arthropoda; Insecta; Ephemeroptera; Heptageniidae.